Molecule: ribosomal RNA, 253 nt
Filed under: uncultured bacterium
Lineage: Bacteria
Description: partial 16S ribosomal RNA
Rfam family: Bacterial small subunit ribosomal RNA
Source: RNAcentral
UACAGAGGGUGCAAGCGUUAAUCGGAAUUACUGGGCGUAAAGCGUGCGUAGGCGGCUCGGUAAGUCGGGCGUGAAAUGCCGGGGCUCAACCCCGGGACUGCGUCCGAUACUUCCGAGCUGGAGGUAGGUAGGGGAGAUCGGAAUUCCUGGUGUAGCGGUGAAAUGCGCAGAUAUCAGGAGGAACACCGGUGGCGAAGGCGGAUCUCUGGGCCUUACCUGACGCUGAGGCGCGAAAGCUAGGGGAGCGAACAGG